This 322-nucleotide ribosomal RNA is filed under the name uncultured eukaryote. Its description in RNAcentral is "partial 18S ribosomal RNA". It matches the Rfam family "Eukaryotic small subunit ribosomal RNA", at positions 1470 to 1796 of the family's 1831-position model. The record is from RNAcentral.
CCCUUAGAUGUUCUGGGCCGCACGCGUGCUACACUGAGUGGAUCAGCGGGUCAGGUUGCGCGAAAGUGUUUCCUAAUCUUGAAAUCCGCUCGUGAUGGGGAUUGACGGUUGCAAUUUUCCGUCAUGAACGAGGAAUACCUUGUAAGCGCGGGUCAUCAUCCCGCGCUGAAUACGUCCCUGCCCUUUGUACACACCGCCCGUCGCUCCUACCGAUUGAGUGGUCCGGUGAGGCUUUGGGAUCUGAGCAAAGAGGGCGUUUCGCUCGUUUUGCCCGGAAAACUCAGUCGAACCUUAUCAUUUAGAGGAAGGAGAAGUCGUAACA